UAUUAUUUAAAUUCAUAGAGAGUUUUAAGGUUUGCAGUGAACUUUUUCUCAUAAUAACCUUAUGAUGUAUUAUUAUUCCUAUUUUACAGAUCAGAAAUCUGAUGCUCUGAGAAGCUAAGUAACAGAUUAUAUGACUUGCCCAAGGUCACACAAUUACUAAGUAGAACUGAGAUUCAAAAUUCUGUCAAGCUUUUCUGAAGGCUGCAACAGAGGUUGUUUCAGACAUUUGGGUCAGCCAGUGCAAAUGUCCGCAGGAAAUGGGAUCAAAAAAAGAGCUCAGACUUCAUCUAUACAGUGCCAUAGAAGCACAGACUUACCCUGAAUAGUGCCAAAAAGAACACACAGGUCAAAAGAAAGAAACCAAUCCAGACGACAGAUAACUGAAUGGUGUUUCCAGCCUUGGCAGCAACCUUCUGAGAGCAAGAAGUUGGAAAAUCCCAUGUCCAAAUGCUGCUUAUCCAAUAGAUCAUCUUUCAUUCCUAAAAUGAUCACUUCUGCUUCUUGGAACCCUUAGCUCCCUUCAAAACACAAGUGCCUCUUUCUUCAGAAAGAAACUGAAGAAAAAUUUCUUCAGUUUUUAAUGGCAGCUCCCCUGCCCAUCAAUUUCUGUAUAUUUAUUUAAAAUAAAUUAUCUAUUUCCUU
This 642-nucleotide long non-coding RNA is filed under the name Monodelphis domestica (gray short-tailed opossum). Its description in RNAcentral is "lncRNA (ENSMODG00000036631.1)". The record is from RNAcentral. Lineage: Eukaryota; Metazoa; Chordata; Mammalia; Didelphimorphia; Didelphidae.